UUCCCGUACUUGGUGUUACUGCGAAGGGGGGACGGAGAAGGCUAUGUUGGCCGGGCGACGGUUGUCCCGGUUUAAGCGUGUAGGCUGGUUUUCCAGGCAAAUCCGGAAAAUCAAGGCUGAGGCGUGACGACGAGGCACUACGGUGCUGAAGCAACAAAUGCCCUGCUUCCAGGAAAAGCCUCUAAGCAUCAGGUAACACGAAAUCGUACCCCAAACCGACACAGGUGGUCAGGUAGAGAAUAC
RNAcentral lists this ribosomal RNA (243 nucleotides) under Salmonella enterica subsp. enterica serovar Newport. RNAcentral describes it as "partial 23S ribosomal RNA". It matches the Rfam family "Bacterial large subunit ribosomal RNA", at positions 1436 to 1681 of the family's 2925-position model. The record is from RNAcentral. Lineage: Bacteria; Pseudomonadati; Pseudomonadota; Gammaproteobacteria; Enterobacterales; Enterobacteriaceae.